Molecule: transfer RNA, 76 nt
Filed under: Desulfobacca sp.
Lineage: Bacteria; Pseudomonadati; Thermodesulfobacteriota; Desulfobaccia; Desulfobaccales; Desulfobaccaceae
Also listed under: 1 other name
Description: tRNA-Ala
Rfam family: tRNA
About the family: Transfer RNA (tRNA) molecules are approximately 80 nucleotides in length. Their secondary structure includes four short double-helical elements and three loops (D, anti-codon, and T loops). Further hydrogen bonds mediate the characteristic L-shaped molecular structure. tRNAs have two regions of fundamental functional importance: the anti-codon, which is responsible for specific mRNA codon recognition, and the 3' end, to which the tRNAs corresponding amino acid is attached (by aminoacyl-tRNA synthetases). tRNAs cope with the degeneracy of the genetic code in two manners: having more than one tRNA (with a specific anti-codon) for a particular amino acid; and 'wobble' base-pairing, i.e. permitting non-standard base-pairing at the 3rd anti-codon position.
Source: RNAcentral
GGGCCGCUAGCUCAGUCGGGAGAGCGCCGCCUUUGCACGGCGGAGGUCAGGGGUUCGACUCCCCUGCGGUCCACCA